This 22-nucleotide small nuclear RNA is filed under the name Arabidopsis thaliana (thale cress). RNAcentral's name for it is "snRNA_12802". Lineage: Eukaryota; Viridiplantae; Streptophyta; Magnoliopsida; Brassicales; Brassicaceae. The record is from RNAcentral.
CCGGAACCGGGACGUGGCGGUU